GAGUUUGAUCGUGGCUCAGGAUGAACGCUGGCGGCGUGCCUAAUACAUGCAAGUCGAACGAAACUUCUUUAUCACCGAGUGCUUGCACUCACCGGUAAAGGGUUGAGUGGCGAACGGGUGAGUAACACGUGGGCAACCUGCCCAAAAGAGGGGGAUAACACUUGGAAACAGGUGCUAAUACCGCAUAACCAUAGUUACCGCAUGGUAGCUAUGUAAAAGGUGGCUAUGCUACCGCUUUUGGAUGGGGCCCGCGGCGCAUUAGCUAGUUGGUGGGGUAAAGGCUUACCAAGGCAAUGAUGCGUAGCCGAACUGAGGGGUUGAUCGGCCACAUUGGGACUGAGACACGGCCCAAACUCUUACGGGAGGCAGCAGUAGGGAAUCUUCCACAAUGGGCGAAAGCCUGAUGGAGCAACGCCGCGUGGGUGAAGAAGGUCUUCGGAUCGUAAAACCCUGUUGUUAGAGAAGAAAGUGCGUGAGAGUAACUGUUCACGUUUCGACGGUAUCUAACCAGAAAGCCACGGCUAACUA
This 528-nucleotide ribosomal RNA is filed under the name uncultured Lactobacillus sp. RNAcentral describes it as "bacterial SSU rRNA". It matches the Rfam family "Bacterial small subunit ribosomal RNA", at positions 9 to 503 of the family's 1533-position model. Lineage: Bacteria; Bacillati; Bacillota; Bacilli; Lactobacillales; Lactobacillaceae. The record is from RNAcentral.